GACGAACGCUGGCGGCGUGCUUAACACAUGCAAGUCGAACGGAAAGGCCCUGCUUUUGUGGGGUGCUCGAGUGGCGAACGGGUGAGUAACACGUGAGUAACCUGCCCUUGACUUUGGGAUAACUUCAGGAAACUGGGGCUAAUACCGGAUAGGAGCUCCUGCUGCAUGGUGGGGGUUGGAAAGUUUCGGCGGUUGGGGAUGGACUCGCGGCUUAUCAGCUUGUUGGUGGGGUAGUGGCUUACCAAGGCUUUGACGGGUAGCCGGCCUGAGAGGGUGACCGGCCACAUUGGGACUGAGAUACGGCCCAGACUCGUACGGGAGGCAGCAGUGGAGAAUAUUGCACAAUGGGCGGAAGCCUGAUGCAGCAACGCCGCGUGCGGGAUGACGGCCUUCGGGUUGUAAACCGCUUUCGCCUGUGACGAAGCGUGAGUGACGGUAAUGUGUAAAGAAGCACCGGCUAACUACGUG
RNAcentral lists this ribosomal RNA (468 nucleotides) under uncultured bacterium. Its description in RNAcentral is "partial 16S ribosomal RNA". It matches the Rfam family "Bacterial small subunit ribosomal RNA", at positions 28 to 507 of the family's 1533-position model. The record is from RNAcentral.